AGCAGCCGCGGUAAUUCCAGCUCCAAUAGCGUAUAUUAAAGUUGUUGCAGUUAAAAAGCUCGUAGUUGAAUUUCGGGGUCAGUAGGCUGGUCGUGCCUCGGUACGUACUGGCAUCGUUGGUUUCUCCCUUCUGACGAACCAUGAUGUCAUUUAUUUGGUGUUGUGGGGAAUCAGGACUGUUACUUUGAAAAAAUUAGAGUGUUUAAAGCAGGCUAACGCUUGAAUACAUUAGCAUGGAAUAAUGAAAUAGGACGAUCGAUCCUAUUUUGUUGGUUUCUAGGAUUGACGUAAUGAUUAAUAGGGAUAGUUGGGGGCAUUAGUAUUCAAUUGUCAGAGGUGAAAUUCUUGGAUUUAUUGAAGACUAACUACUGCGAAAGCAUUUGCCAAGGAUGGUUUCAUUAAUCAAGAACGAAAGUUAGGGGAUCGAAGACGAUCAGAUACCGUCGUAGUCUUAACCAUAAACUAUGCCGACUAGGGAUCGGAUGAUGUUAAUUUUUUAAUGUACUCAUUCGGCGUCCG
This 519-nucleotide ribosomal RNA is filed under the name uncultured Glomus. RNAcentral describes it as "SSU rRNA". It matches the Rfam family "Eukaryotic small subunit ribosomal RNA", at positions 569 to 1089 of the family's 1831-position model. Lineage: Eukaryota; Fungi; Glomeromycota; Glomeromycetes; Glomerales; Glomeraceae. The record is from RNAcentral.